Molecule: ribosomal RNA, 178 nt
Filed under: Parabodo caudatus
Lineage: Eukaryota; Euglenozoa; Kinetoplastea; Parabodonida; Parabodonidae
Description: partial small subunit ribosomal RNA
Source: RNAcentral
ACAUGAACUAAUGCAAACCUCUUCGGAGUUUUGCUGCGAAUGAAUGAAAUUAAAACCAAUGCCGCGGACGCGGCACUAACACAGCRGUGUUSACUCAAUUCAUUCCGUGCGAAAGGUGGUGUACUCCAGCGUCUUUUGACSAACAACUGCCCUAGCAGCUUGUGUUGGCAGUGUAGGG